Oryza glaberrima (African rice) is the source of this 206-nucleotide non-coding RNA. Lineage: Eukaryota; Viridiplantae; Streptophyta; Magnoliopsida; Poales; Poaceae. The record is from Rfam.
AAAAAGGCAAACCCUGAAUUUCCGUGUCCAACUUUGAUUGUUCGUCUUAUAUGAAAUUUUUUUAUAAUUUAUAUUUUCAUUGUUGUUGGAUGAUAAAAUAUGAUUAGUAUUUUAUCCAUGACUUGUCUUUUUAACUUUUUUUCAUAAUUUUUUCAAAUGAGACGGACGGUCAAACGUUGGCCACGGAAACCAGGGUUUGUCUUUUU